Caenorhabditis elegans is the source of this 134-nucleotide non-coding RNA. Lineage: Eukaryota; Metazoa; Nematoda; Chromadorea; Rhabditida; Rhabditidae. The record is from Ensembl.
GAAAUUCACGUAAAAUAAAUAAAACAAAUUAAUUUACUAACCUGCUAGAAACAUUGCAUUCCAAAAGGUCCACACUGGAGUUAAUACAUGUCCCAGCCCAACAGAAUUAUUAUAUUCUUCUACACUCUGGUUGA